Molecule: ribosomal RNA, 1181 nt
Filed under: metagenome
Description: SSU rRNA
Rfam family: Eukaryotic small subunit ribosomal RNA
Source: RNAcentral
AGUCUGGUGCCAGCAGCCGCGGUAAUUCCAGCUCCAAUAGCGUAUAUUAAAAUUGUUGCAGUUAAAAAGCUCGUAGUUGGAUUUCUGGUUUUGCGAGUUUGGCCCCCAGCUACGGCUGGCGCGUGUCGUUAUUCGCUUACCAUCCUUCUGGGGAGGGUCUCACAUCACUUUAAUGUGUUUGGGUCACGUAACCAGAUCUUUUACUUUGAAAAAAUUAGAGUGUUUAAAGCAGGCUUGCGCUGUGAAUACAUUAGCAUGGAAUAAUAAUUUAGGACUUUUGCUCCUGUUUUGUUGGUUUAUUGGACGGAAGUAAUGAUUGAUAGGGAUAGUUGGGGGUGCUAGUAUUCAGCGGCCAGAGGUGAAAUUCUUGGAUUCGCUGAAGACUAACUUAUGCGAAAGCAUUCACCAAGGAUGUCUUCUUUAAUCAAGAACGAAAGUCGGGGAUCGAAGACGAUCAGAUACCGUCGUAGUCUCAACCAUAAACUAUGCCGACUAGGGAUGAGUGAUCGUUGCUAUUUCGACUUCAUUCGCACCUUAUGAGAAAUCAAAGUCUUUGGGUUCCGGGGGGAGUAUGGUCGCAAGGCUGAAACUUAAAGGAAUUGACGGAAGGGCACACCAGGAGUGGAGCCUGCGGCUUAAUUUGACCCAACACGGGAAAACUUACCAGGUCCAGACAUAGUAAGGAUUGACAGAUUGAAGAUCUUUCUUGAUUCUAUGGGUGGUGGUGCAUGGCCGUUCCUAGUUGGUGGAGUGAUUUGUCUGGUUAAUUCCGUUAACGAACGAGACCUCGACCUGCUAAAUAGGUCUACUAAUCUUGAUUGGUCUGACACUUCUUAGAGGGACUAUCGGUGUGUAGCCGAUGGAAGUUCGAGGCAAUAACAGGUCUGUGAUGCCCUUAGAUGCCCUGGGCCGCACGCCGCUACACUGAUACGUUCAUCGAGCUCAACCUUGGUUGAGAGGCCUGGGUAAUCUUUUUAAACCGUAUCGUGCUGGGGAUAGAUUAUUGUAAUUUUUAAUCUUCAACGAGGAAUUCCUAGUAAACGCGAGUCAUCAACUCGCAUUGAUUACGGCCCUGCCCUUUGUACACACCGCCCGUCGCUACUACCGAUUGAAUGGUUUAGUGAGCUUCAGGGAUUGUUUGUUUGGUCGGUUCGCCGUCCUUUCACUCCCGAGAACUGAAU